AGUGAACGCUGGCGGUAGGCCUAACACAUGCAAGUCGAACGGCAGCACAGUAAGAGCUUGCUCUUACGGGUGGCGAGUGGCGGACGGGUGAGGAAUCCAUCGGACUCUACUUUUUCGUGGGGGAUAACGUAGGGAAACUUACGCUAAUACCGCAUACGACCUACGGGUGAAAGCAGGGGAUCUUCGGACCUUGCGCGAUUGAAUGAGCCGAUGUCGGAUUAGCUAGUUGGCGGGGUAAAGGCCCACCAAGGCGACGAUCCGUAGCUGGUCUGAGAGGAUGAUCAGCCACACUGGAACUGAGACACGGUCCAGACUCCUACGGGAGGCAGCAGUGGGGAAUAUUGGACAAUGGGCGCAAGCCUGAUCCAGCCAUACCGCGUGGAUGAAGAAGGCCUUCGGGUUGUAAAGCCCUUUUGUUGGGAAAGAAAAGCAGCAGGUUAAUACCCCGCUGUUCUGACGGUACCCAAAGAAGAAGCACCGGCUAACUUCGUG
Molecule: ribosomal RNA, 492 nt
Filed under: uncultured bacterium
Lineage: Bacteria
Description: partial 16S ribosomal RNA
Rfam family: Bacterial small subunit ribosomal RNA
Source: RNAcentral